UGAGACAGUUCGGUCCCUAUCCGGCGUGGGCGUAGGAUAUUUGAGAGGAGCUGUCCUUAGUACGAGAGGACCGGGAUGGACCGACCGCUGGUGUACCGGCUGUACUGCCAAGUGCAUGGCCGGGUAGCCAAGUCGGGAAGGGAUAAACGCUGAAGGCAUCUAAGCGUGAAGCCCCCCUCAAGAUGAGAUAUCCCACGCGAAAGCGGUAAGACCCCUUGAAGACGACGAGGUAGAUAGGUCGGAGGUGGAAGUGCAGUAAUGCAUGGAGCUGACCGAUACUAAUAGGUCGAGGGCUUGACCAU
Molecule: ribosomal RNA, 302 nt
Filed under: Candidatus Limivivens intestinipullorum
Lineage: Bacteria; Bacillati; Bacillota; Clostridia; Lachnospirales; Lachnospiraceae
Description: partial 23S ribosomal RNA
Rfam family: Bacterial large subunit ribosomal RNA
Source: RNAcentral